AACGAACGCUGGCGGCGCGUCUUAAGCAUGCAAGUCGAGCGGUAAGAUUGGUGCUUGCACUAAUCCUAGAGCGGCGGACUGGUGAGUAACGCGUGGGUGACGUACCUUUGUGACGGGGAUAGCUCCUAGAAAUAGGAGAUAAUACCGGAUACGCUGCAUGUUGUCAGAGGACAUGCAGGAAAGGAUCUUUUGAUUCGCACGAAGAGCGGCCCGCGUACUAUUAGCUAGUUGGUGAGGUAACGGCCCACCAAGGCAACGAUAGUUACCCGGCCUAAGAGGGUGAUCGGGCACAUUGGGACUGAGAUACGGCCCAGACUCC
This 319-nucleotide ribosomal RNA is filed under the name uncultured Treponema sp. RNAcentral's name for it is "bacterial SSU rRNA". It matches the Rfam family "Bacterial small subunit ribosomal RNA", at positions 29 to 339 of the family's 1533-position model. The record is from RNAcentral. Lineage: Bacteria; Pseudomonadati; Spirochaetota; Spirochaetia; Treponematales; Treponemataceae.